RNAcentral lists this ribosomal RNA (449 nucleotides) under uncultured bacterium. RNAcentral's name for it is "partial 16S ribosomal RNA". It matches the Rfam family "Bacterial small subunit ribosomal RNA", at positions 29 to 523 of the family's 1533-position model. The record is from RNAcentral.
AGCGAACGCUGGCGGCAGGCCUAACACAUGCAAGUCGAACGGAUCCUUCGGGAUUAGUGGCGGACGGGUGAGUAACACGUGGGAACGUGCCCUUUGGUUCGGAACAACUCAGGGAAACUUGAGCUAAUACCGGAUGUGCCCUUCGGGGGAAAGAUUUAUCGCCAUUGGAGCGGCCCGCGUCUGAUUGGCUAGUUGGUGAGGUAAAGACUCACCAAGGCGACGAUCAGUAGCUGGUCUGAGAGGAUGAUCAGCCACAUUGGGACUGAGACACGGCCCAAACUCCUACGGGAGGCAGCAGUGGGGAAUCUUGCGCAAUGGGCGAAAGCCUGACGCAGCCAUGCCGCGUGAAUGACGAAGGUCUUAGGAUUGUAAAAUUCUUUCACCGGGGACGAUAAUGACGGUACCCGGAGAAGAAGCCCCGGCUAACUUCGUGCCAGCCGCCGCGGUAA